Molecule: long non-coding RNA, 502 nt
Organism: Arabidopsis thaliana (thale cress)
Lineage: Eukaryota; Viridiplantae; Streptophyta; Magnoliopsida; Brassicales; Brassicaceae
Product: other RNA
Exons: 1
Source: RefSeq
UUCACAACCACCACAACAUAUAUGAUCUGCUUUGUUCCCUAUAGCCUUUUUUUUGUUCUUAACAAAUUUUUCGUGUUUCACAAUUCAUAUGAUUCAUAUGCUGUUAGUUAAAGUCCACAACCCUAAAAUGGUUAAAUCUUGAUGGAGAUAUUGAAGCAGUAAUUCAUAUUUAUUUUUUGUUCUUGAUUGCACAACAUACAAAUAUAGGGAAGAUUUUAAUGGCCAGUAAAUAAUGCUUGUAUUUAUAUAUGAUCUUGUGGAAUGGUGAUAUUAGUUGUUAUGUACUUUUCCUUUUCUCGAAAAUACUUGCAGAGGGCUUGGAAUUGGCAUUGAAGGGGUGUUGAACCAUAACUCCUCGACUAAUCCUGAGUGUUUCUCUUUACCAAACCUACCUAAUAAUAUGCGUCCAGAGAAUUUCCCUUGUAACACUUUUUAUAGUUGUUGGAGCAUCAGAACUAGAACAUGUAUGAUCGAAAAAUUAUACUAGAUAUAUGGUUUAGCC